RNAcentral lists this ribosomal RNA (253 nucleotides) under uncultured bacterium. Its description in RNAcentral is "partial 16S ribosomal RNA". It matches the Rfam family "Bacterial small subunit ribosomal RNA", at positions 524 to 776 of the family's 1533-position model. The record is from RNAcentral.
UACGUAGGGUGCAAGCGUUAAUCGGAAUUACUGGGCGUAAAGCGUGCGCAGGCGGUUUUGUAAGUCUGACGUGAAAUCCCCGGGCUUAACCUGGGAAUUGCGAUGAAGACUGCAAGGCUAGAAUCUGGCAGAGGGGGGUAGAAUUCCACGUGUAGCAGUGAAAUGCGUAGAGAUGUGGAGGAACACCGAUGGCGAAGGCAGCCCCCUGGGUCAAGAUUGACGCUCAUGCACGAAAGCGUGGGGAGCAAACAGG